Molecule: ribosomal RNA, 101 nt
Filed under: Sinocyclocheilus rhinocerous
Lineage: Eukaryota; Metazoa; Chordata; Actinopteri; Cypriniformes; Cyprinidae
Source: RNAcentral
AAAUAAAAAAAAAUCUCGUCUGAUCUCGGAAGCUAAGCAGGGUCGGGCCUGGUUAGUACUUGGAUGGGAGACCGCCUGGGAAUACCAGGUACUGUAAUCUU